UACGUAGGGUGCAAGCGUUAAUCGGAAUUACUGGGCGUAAAGCGUUCGCAGGCGGUUUUGUAAGUCUGUCGUGAAAGCCCCGGGCUCAACCUGGGAAUUGCGAUGGAGACUGCAAGGCUUGAAUCUGGCAGAGGGGGGUAGAAUUCCACGUGUAGCAGUGAAAUGCGUAGAGAUGUGGAGGAACACCGAUGGCGAAGGCAGCCCCCUGGGUCAAGAUUGACGCUCAUGCACGAAAGCGUGGGGAGCAAACAGG
Molecule: ribosomal RNA, 253 nt
Filed under: uncultured bacterium
Lineage: Bacteria
Description: partial 16S ribosomal RNA
Rfam family: Bacterial small subunit ribosomal RNA
Source: RNAcentral